Molecule: long non-coding RNA, 725 nt
Organism: Musa acuminata AAA Group (dessert banana)
Lineage: Eukaryota; Viridiplantae; Streptophyta; Magnoliopsida; Zingiberales; Musaceae
Exons: 3
Source: RefSeq, a predicted model, not a curated record
AGGUGCAGUUCCGUCGACAACAUAGGAGUAGAUGGCAAGCUAGAUGAUGAAGAAUGGGUCAUAACUCAUAGCGCCUCAUUAAUUUUAUGCCAUGAAAUGUGUUUGUGAUAGAUACUAUUUCUGUUCUCAUUACGAUUUAGUAGUCAAGUAUGCCAACCGUCGUAGCUCUCUGCCAAGAUCAGAAUAUUGUUGUAGCUAAGCUUGUGGGCUGCUGCUAUUAUAGGGACGUGGUGCAAUCUCCUCACUGUCGUUUAUGUCGGAUUUGUUUGCUCUCAGACGCUGCCAAUACUGUAUGAGAAAUGUGAAGAUCAAAUUGAUAGACUUUCUAUAUAACCUCCUCGGGCAGUUCCAGAAUCACUAUAGCAAGCUGGAUGUGAGUGUGCUGAGUAAACUAUCGAAGGGAAAUCCCAGAUCAAAGAAGAAUGACUAGAGUCCAUCCUUCUUUGGUUCAUCUUGUCUUUUAUUGUGUGAUCGACAUGCUGUAUUGCUGUCAAAUAAAGAUGAAAACCUCCGCCACUAUUGUGAACACAACAGCAGCAAUUCUGUGCAUAGUCUUUUUGCCACUGAAUGCAGGUUUCUGAUAUCCCAACUGGUUGUCAAGCAAUUAUGCAAACAGAGCAUGAUGUUCUUUAGGUCAAUUCCGAUGCAUUCUAAAUGUUUCUUUGAGCAUUCUUUGUUGAUGCUUAAUCUCAAUGAUCAAAGUUUGGAGGUUUUUGGUUUCUAAA